UAAAAAUGUUACAAGACAGUGAAAAAGAAAACUUAGGGUAACGCUAGGUCAAACCUGAGAGCAUCCACAAACAAGAUGCUUCUGCCAAAGAGGCCCUUUCUUCGGUCUCCAUUUGCCAUAUCUCAGGCCUUAGCAACACCCAGAGGAAAUCUUCCAAAGCUGAGAUCUCAGAAUAGGUAUGAAGUCCCCAGAUCCCAAACCAUGGAAGGAGUUUAAAAGCACAAGGCACUGGAUUCUUCCCGAUACCAUCUUCACAUUCAUUGGUUAUCAGCAUGGAAGUGGGAUUAGCAGGAAGAAGUCCAACUGACUGAUGUAAUGAUGAUGUCAAAAGAGCCCUAACAGGUCUGCAAUUUUGACAGACACACAUUGUGAAGCUGCUUCAUAUGCUGGACUCCCUCCAAAUGGCUUCCUCUGGCAGCAAGUCUCAUAAAAUGUAUCCAGAGAUUUUCUAAUGACAGCUUCUCCAUCCUUUUGCUCAUUCCCCCAAGAUA
Long non-coding RNA from Sceloporus undulatus (fence lizard), 491 nucleotides. RefSeq lists it as uncharacterized. The record is from RefSeq and is a predicted model, not a curated record. NCBI's taxonomy places the organism in Eukaryota, Metazoa, Chordata, Lepidosauria, Squamata, Phrynosomatidae. The transcript has 3 exons.